GUAGUCAUAUGCUUGUCUCAAAGAUUAAGCCAUGCAUGUCUAAGUAUAAGCAAUUAUACCGUGAAACUGCGAAUGGCUCAUUAAAUCAGUUAUCGUUUAUUUGAUAGUACCUUACCACUUGGAUAACCGUGGUAAUUCUAGAGCUAAUACAUGCUAAAAACCCCGACUUCGGAAGGGGUGUGUUUAUUAGAUAAAAAACCAAUGCCCUUCGGGGCUCUUUGGUGAUUCAUGAUAACCUAACGGAUCGCAUGGCCUUGCGCCGGCGACGGUUCAUUCAAAUUUCUGCCCUAUCAACUUUCGAUGGUAAGGUAUUGGCUUACCAUGGUUUCAACGGGUAACGGGGAAUUAGGGUUCGAUUCCGGAGAGGGAGCCUGAGAAACGGCUACCACAUCCAAGGAAGGCAGCAGGCGCGCAAAUUACCCAAUCCCGACACGGGGAGGUAGUGACAAUAAAUACUGAUACAGGGCUCUUUAGGGUCUUGUAAUUGGAAUGAGUACAAUUUAAACCCCUUAACGAGGAACAAUCGGGGGGCAAGUCUGGUGCCAGCAGCC
This 551-nucleotide ribosomal RNA is filed under the name uncultured eukaryote. RNAcentral's name for it is "SSU rRNA". It matches the Rfam family "Eukaryotic small subunit ribosomal RNA", at positions 20 to 575 of the family's 1831-position model. The record is from RNAcentral.